CUCAGUUCAAGAAUGACAGGGAACUUCUGAAGAGAGAAAAUGAGGAAGAGCCUGGAGCAUCUCCCAUAUGAGGAAAUGCUGAAUGACAGGGAACUAUUCAGCCCAGAGAAGACGGAGAGGGGAUCUCAUCACUGUUUAUAAAUAUCUGAAGUGUGGGAGUCAAAUGGAUGAAACUUUUUUUCAGUGUUUUGCAGAAACUGGACAAGGGGCAAUAGGCAAAAGUGGAACAUGGGAAGUAUCAUAUAAAUGUGAGGGAACUUGCUUUCGCAGAGGGUUGGACUCAGUGAUCCCCAGAGGUCCUUUCCUACAGCUACAAUUCUGUGAUACUUUGGGUUUACCUCCUCUGAUAAAUCAAUUGUCCAUCUGGAAGACAAGGCAACACCCGCCAUGGUGAUAUGCUUUGUAUUAAAAGAACUGAAGUAGCACAGGAGGAAGGAAACUAGAGAAGCACCAUGGGAAAACCUGCGAACACAAAUCUUUGUAUGAAGCUCUGUUGACUUCUCUUCGUAUCUUCCAAAAGGUCUGGCAGAAACAGAUGGCAGCCCCUUCUGCUUACAGACCCUUUUCCCAUACUUAAAGGAGCUUCUAACUAUGUCUGAAAACAUGAGGAAGAAUGAGUAGUGGAAAAUCCCAAUCUUUCAGGAAAAAAAUAUAUAUAUUUAUGUGUGUGUGUGUGUGUGUAUGCAUAUACAGGACUCCUCAGCAUGAAGGUUUCACAGAAGUGGCAUGGGUCUUUACUGUAAAGGAAAGUAAACAGUAGGAAUCAAUACUUUUGAAGUACUUUUAUCAGUCAUAGGCUCUUUAGUCUUCAUUUCUUUACUGUGUAAGUAUGUGCAUAUUUCAGUAGAAGGGGAAAUAUUUUUGCUAAGGAAUAUUGGCAGCAUUCCGUUUGUUGAAGAUAUAUGUAAAGAGAUAAAACACAUGGAAGCACUUUACAAGGCACUUUUUUUCCCCUUGCAUAACAAUUAUUUUAUAGCCAGUGCCUGUUUCAAGGAAUUGUAAGUACCUGUCUUGGUGGUUACAGUCUAAAUAGCUAAAAAUGUAAUCCACUUUUCACCAGUAAAUGCUGAUACUCUCCUCAUGUUUGUGCCCCGCUGCAUUCAUUGCUCUUUUCCUCAUUUCUGGUAACUUUGACUUCUUGUUCCUCACAGUGUAGAUCCUUCCAUUCAGAGUCCUGAUUUCAGUUGUGAUGCUUUUUGCUUCAUGCUGUUCUUCUGACACCUGCUAGCUUGUAGUUAUUCUCACGGGCCAACUUUCAGGCUCUAUUGUUUGGGUUUUGCUUGCUUUUUUAAUGGGGUAGACAGGAAAGGGAAGAAAAAAGGACUAUUUUCAGAUCCUGUGUUUCAUUAAUUAUGCAAAAGCUGUUUCUGUUUUUGUAUCACAGCAGAGCAGUGAGUCCUGAGGUGAAAUGGAAAUAUCAGUAUGUGAUGAUGAGUAUGAGGGACCUAAAGAAAAAUAGAUUUGUGCCUUUAGUAUUUACAUUUGCAUUAAUAUCAGCAAAAAGCUGCUAUUCCUGCAUAAAACAUCCAAUUUCAAGCAAAAUUCUGUUAAGCAAAGCCACCAAGCAGAAUUAUCUGACUAUAUUUUGAAGAAAUUGCAAUGCUCUUUCUGACCUCUCUUAGAGAAAUUGCUGUCUUUGUUUAUCCUCAGCUUUCCUCUGAAUUUCCUACUGUAGUAGGAAGCUUCAAACUGUGUUGCCCACUUCUGAUGCCUCUGAACUUCUGGGAAGCAGCUAUUAAUUUGUUUUUUUCUAUUCCCCGGUGAUGCCAGUUCAUAACAAGUAUGUUGGAAGUGACAAACUAGUAUCAACAUAAACAAGUGUCAUGAUUUUACAGGUCCUACAGUGUGGUACUCUUAUUUUCCAAAAGGUGAAGCGACAGUUUGAUUACACUUGAAGAACUUGAAGAUUAAAGGGAAAUGAAAUUUAAAAAUGAAAAAUAAAUCCUAACUAACUUCUAUCUUCAAUCUCAUAUUCAGUGGCAAGUGAAACAGUAUGAAACAGGCACAAACAUCACUGCAGCAACCACAUAAACAUGGCUGGGGGAGAUCACAGUUGUGAAUGUAUAAUUAGUGUCACCACACUCAGGGAGCGUGUCAACAGGGUGGCAGAACAGACCAAAAAAAAAGGAAAGGCUCCUUUCCCUCAGCACCCUUUCUGGAUGGGCCUGUAGAAAUCACUUAUCCAUUUACUGCAAAACCACUUGCGGUCACCAAAAAAAGAGAAGUCGCAUUGUGGUUGAAAAUGGUGUUUGAACUGUGAAGAUACAAGUUCUCUUUUUCAAUAAGCCACAUUAUUUUUUUCUACGUACACCUCAUUUAAGAGAAUUGGGCUUAAAUUGUUACUGAAUCAGUGACAAAUAGCAUAUUAGCUAUUUUACUCAGAAGAUGUUCCUUCACUUCUACUGUCUAUAUACUGAACCAAGAAGCAUUCAGGAAUCCUAGCCUGCUCUGAAGGGAACUGGAUCAUCAGGUUACAGGUCGUUUCAGGUCCAGUCACUGUAUAUCAUUUUUCUCUGAGAUUUUGUAUCAUUUGUUUCAGGUGGGUAACAGCCUGGAAUAAAGAGGAUCUGAAUUCUA
Long non-coding RNA from Centrocercus urophasianus (Greater sage-grouse), 2577 nucleotides. RefSeq lists it as uncharacterized. NCBI's taxonomy places the organism in Eukaryota, Metazoa, Chordata, Aves, Galliformes, Phasianidae. The record is from RefSeq and is a predicted model, not a curated record. The transcript is spliced from 2 exons.